RNAcentral lists this ribosomal RNA (382 nucleotides) under uncultured bacterium. Its description in RNAcentral is "bacterial SSU rRNA". It matches the Rfam family "Bacterial small subunit ribosomal RNA", at positions 8 to 351 of the family's 1533-position model. The record is from RNAcentral.
AGAGUUUGAUCAUGGCUCAGGACGAACGCUGGCGGCGUGCCUAACACAUGCAAGUCGAACGAGAAACCAGCCUUUGAUUCCUUCGGGAUGAUAAGGCCGGUAGAAAGUGGCGAACGGGUGAGUAACGCGUGGGUAAUCUACCCUGUAAGUGGGGGAUAACCCUCCGAAAGGAGGGCUAAUACCGCAUAACAUCUUCCCUUCAUAAGAAGGAGAGAUUAAAGAUGGCCUCUUUAUAUGCUAUCACUUCAGGAUGAGUCCGCGCCCUAUUAGUUAGUUGGUAGGGUAAUGGCCUACCAAGACCACUAUGGGUAGCCGGUCUGAGAGGAUGUACGGUCACUAUUGGUAUCUGAGAUAUCUGCCCUGACUCCUACGGUGAGGUUUG